RNAcentral lists this transfer RNA (69 nucleotides) under Ictidomys tridecemlineatus (thirteen-lined ground squirrel). RNAcentral describes it as "Spermophilus tridecemlineatus (thirteen-lined ground squirrel) tRNA". It matches the Rfam family "tRNA". Rfam says of the family: Transfer RNA (tRNA) molecules are approximately 80 nucleotides in length. Lineage: Eukaryota; Metazoa; Chordata; Mammalia; Rodentia; Sciuridae. The record is from Rfam by way of RNAcentral.
GGGGUUGUAACUCAGUGGUAGAGCGCUUGCCUGGCAUGCAUGAGGCACUGAGUUCGAGCCUUAGCACCA